GAGCUUUGGCUAUCAGUGUUGCUGCAAUUACUGCUCCUGCUGCUGCUAGGAUCAUUGGGUUGAUUUUUCCUCUGCUGAGAUCUCCGUGGAGAAUAGCCACAAGGGACUGACACUGGGGGACCCUGAAGUUUCUUUCGAGGGGAAUAAGAAGCCUGAGGGAUAUCAGGAGUUUGAGUCAUGACCUUUAUAGUUUAGCAACAAGAGAAAGCUUUUAUUGCGUGUUGUAGCUGACAAAAACCAGUGUAAAUUGUCACAGCAUCGUGAGCUGAAUAUGGUUUCGGUUGUGAUGAAUCCUUUGGAGGAACCCUGUUAAGAUACUAAACAAAAUUAGGAAUAAGAAUAUGAAUAGAAAUCAGUAACAGAUAUGAACUUCUAAAUUAAAUCAA
Molecule: long non-coding RNA, 386 nt
Organism: Asparagus officinalis (garden asparagus)
Lineage: Eukaryota; Viridiplantae; Streptophyta; Magnoliopsida; Asparagales; Asparagaceae
Exons: 2
Source: RefSeq, a predicted model, not a curated record